AGUCUCCGCCUCGCGAGGUACCUCCCCACCUUGCGAUCGGGGUCCCAAGAGCCAGGGGGGAAGAGGGGCUGGCUCUCUUUGUGGAUGAUUCUUUUUCCAUUCUCAGGCAGUUUUCUUUUUUCUUUCUUUUUUUUUUUUUGGAGGCUGAGUCUUGCUCUGUUGCCCAUGCUUUGCUGGAUCUCGGGUGACUGCAACCACUGCCUCCCAGGUUCAAGAGAUUCUCCUGCCUCAGCCUCCUGAGUAGCUGGGACUAGAGGCGUGUGUCACCACACCCAGCUAAGUUUUGUAUUUUUAGUAGAGAUGGGGUUUCACCAUGUUUGCCAGGAUGGUCUCUAUCUCCUGACCUUGUGAUCCACCCACCUCAGCCUCCCAAAGUGCUGGGAUUGCAGGUGGGAGCCACCGGGUCCAGCCUCUCCGGCGAUUUUCAUACCUGCAUACUCUGAUCACUACUCUGUUAAACAGUCAAGGAGGCUGAGUGCCACGUGCUGACGUCACUAAGAUCAAUACAGCAAACUCUGAAAGAUGGACAGAGAGACAGGAGAUGGUCCUUUAUAAUGCAGUGUGAUCUGUGCUGCAAUAGAGAUGGAAGAGUGUUCUGAUCAGCUGGAAAACAACGCACAUGGGAAGCUGUACAGAAAUGAGUGGGGAAAGUUUUGGAAGCUAGAAGUUCAAAACGAGGUGUUGGCAGCACCAUGCUCUCUCUGAAGAUGCUAGGAAGAAUCUGCUCCAUGCCUUUCCAUUCGCUCCUGGGGUUUCCUGCAAGCCCUGACAUUCCUUGGCUUGUAGAUACACCACCCCAGUUUCCGCCCCCAUCAUCACAUGGCCUCCUCUCUGUGGGUGCCUCUGCGUUCCCUCUAUUCUUCUUCUAAGGACACCGACACCAGUCAUAGUGGAUUAAGGGUCCACUCCUAACUAAUUACAUCUGCAACCACCCUAUUUCCAAAUAAAGUCACAUUCUAAGA
This 962-nucleotide long non-coding RNA is filed under the name Homo sapiens (human). Its description in RNAcentral is "long independently transcribed non-coding RNA 1961, transcript variant 4 (LINC01961)". The record is from RNAcentral. Lineage: Eukaryota; Metazoa; Chordata; Mammalia; Primates; Hominidae.